Mycetomoellerius zeteki is the source of this 84-nucleotide long non-coding RNA. RefSeq lists it as uncharacterized. NCBI's taxonomy places the organism in Eukaryota, Metazoa, Arthropoda, Insecta, Hymenoptera, Formicidae. The record is from RefSeq and is a predicted model, not a curated record. The transcript is spliced from 3 exons.
UUCUUCCUGAAGAGAAAAGUAAGAAAGAUGAACUGGUGCAAAAAUUCAACCAAAAAGAACAAGCCCAUUAGCUUGUAUCACUUU